RNAcentral lists this ribosomal RNA (468 nucleotides) under uncultured bacterium. RNAcentral describes it as "partial 16S ribosomal RNA". It matches the Rfam family "Bacterial small subunit ribosomal RNA", at positions 28 to 507 of the family's 1533-position model. The record is from RNAcentral.
GACGAACGCUGGCGGCGUGCUUAACACAUGCAAGUCGAACGGAAAGGCCCUGCUUUUGUGGGGUGCUCGAGUGGCGAACGGGUGAGUAACACGUGAGUAACCUGCCCUUGACUUUGGGAUAACUUCAGGAAACUGGGGCUAAUACCGGAUAGGAGCUCCUGCUGCAUGGUGGGGGUUGGAAAGUUUCGGCGGUUGGGGAUGGACUCGCGGCUUAUCAGCUUGUUGGUGGGGUAGUGGCUUACCAAGGCUUUGACGGGUAGCCGGCCUGAGAGGGUGACCGGCGACAUUGGGACUGAGAUACGGACCAGAAUCGUACGGGAGGCAGCAGUGGGGAAUAUUGCACAAUGGGCGGAAGCCUGAUGCAGCAACGCCGCGUGCGGGAUGACGGCCUUCGGGUUGUAAACCGCUUUCGCCUGUGACGAAGCGUGAGUGACGGUAAUGGGUAAAGAAGCACCGGCUAACUACGUG